UACGGGGGGGGCAAGCGUUGUUCGGAAUUACUGGGCGUAAAGGGCUCGUAGGCGGCCAACUAAGUCAGACGUGAAAUCCCCAGGCUUAACCUGGGAAUGGCAUUUGGGACUGCAAGGCUUGAGUGCGGCAGAGGAGACUGGAAUUCCUGGUGUAGCAGUGAAAUGCGUAGAUAUCAGGAGGAAUACCGAUGGCGAAGGCAGGUCUCUGGGCUGACACUGACGCUCAUGCACGAAAGCGUGGGGAGCAAACAGG
Molecule: ribosomal RNA, 253 nt
Filed under: uncultured bacterium
Lineage: Bacteria
Description: partial 16S ribosomal RNA
Rfam family: Bacterial small subunit ribosomal RNA
Source: RNAcentral